This 347-nucleotide transfer-messenger RNA is filed under the name Gloeomargaritaceae cyanobacterium AH-226-B11. It matches the Rfam family "transfer-messenger RNA". Rfam says of the family: Bacterial tmRNA, also known as 10Sa RNA or SsrA, is named for its dual tRNA and mRNA-like properties. Its role is to liberate the mRNA from a stalled ribosome. The record is from RNAcentral. Lineage: Bacteria; Bacillati; Cyanobacteriota; Cyanophyceae; Gloeomargaritales; Gloeomargaritaceae.
GGGGCUGGCUAGGCUUUGACAUUUAAAUUUAGUUAAAAGAUGAAGCAAGUCGAUGUUAGUAAUCUUCGUAAAAAAAUUACACAUUAUUAAUAACUGCAAAUAAUAUUAUCUCGUUUAAACGUCACUACGUAAAAACAUCAUUAAUUCCAGCUUUCGCGUAAAAAAAUCCGAAAGUUAGUAUAAAUUUAAUUUUUAGUUAUACCCUAAAUUAUUAAAACUAGACUUUUAUAUUAUUUUAGUUUAGACUAAUAUCAAUGUUUAAAUGUUCAAUGAUUUUGAACUAAACUUGUGAAUGAGUUUUUUGAAAAAGUUUAAAUGGACAUGGGUUCAAUUCCCAUCAGCUCCAA